RNAcentral lists this ribosomal RNA (1569 nucleotides) under Salmonella enterica. Its description in RNAcentral is "partial 23S ribosomal RNA". It matches the Rfam family "Bacterial large subunit ribosomal RNA", at positions 1271 to 2823 of the family's 2925-position model. RNAcentral also lists the same sequence under 2 other names. The record is from RNAcentral. Lineage: Bacteria; Pseudomonadati; Pseudomonadota; Gammaproteobacteria; Enterobacterales; Enterobacteriaceae.
UGCUGGAGGUAUCAGAAGUGCGAAUGCUGACAUAAGUAACGAUAAAGCGGGUGAAAAGCCCGCUCGCCGGAAGACCAAGGGUUCCUGUCCAACGUUAAUCGGGGCAGGGUGAGUCGACCCCUAAGGCGAGGCCGAAAGGCGUAGUCGAUGGGAAACGGGUUAAUAUUCCCGUACUUGGUGUUACUGCGAAGGGGGGACGGAGAAGGCUAUGUUGGCCGGGCGACGGUUGUCCCGGUUUAAGCGUGUAGGUGUGUGUUCCAGGUAAAUCCGGUUCACUUUAACACUGAGGCGUGACGACGAGGCACUACGGUGCUGAAGCAACAAAUGCCCUGCUUCCAGGAAAAGCCUCUAAGCAUCAGGUAACAUCAAAUCGUACCCCAAACCGACACAGGUGGUCAGGUAGAGAAUACCAAGGCGCUUGAGAGAACUCGGGUGAAGGAACUAGGCAAAAUGGUGCCGUAACUUCGGGAGAAGGCACGCUGACAUGUAGGUGAAGUGAUUUACUCAUGGAGCUGAAGUCAGUCGAAGAUACCAGCUGGCUGCAACUGUUUAUUAAAAACACAGCACUGUGCAAACACGAAAGUGGACGUAUACGGUGUGACGCCUGCCCGGUGCCGGAAGGUUAAUUGAUGGGGUCAGCGCAAGCGAAGCUCCUGAUCGAAGCCCCGGUAAACGGCGGCCGUAACUAUAACGGUCCUAAGGUAGCGAAAUUCCUUGUCGGGUAAGUUCCGACCUGCACGAAUGGCGUAAUGAUGGCCAGGCUGUCUCCACCCGAGACUCAGUGAAAUUGAACUCGCUGUGAAGAUGCAGUGUACCCGCGGCAAGACGGAAAGACCCCGUGAACCUUUACUAUAGCUUGACACUGAACAUUGAGCCUUGAUGUGUAGGAUAGGUGGGAGGCUUUGAAGUGUGGACGCCAGUCUGCAUGGAGCCGACCUUGAAAUACCACCCUUUAAUGUUUGAUGUUCUAACGUGGACCCGUAAUCCGGGUUGCGGACAGUGUCUGGUGGGUAGUUUGACUGGGGCGGUCUCCUCCUAAAGAGUAACGGAGGAGCACGAAGGUUGGCUAAUCCUGGUCGGACAUCAGGAGGUUAGUGCAAUGGCAUAAGCCAGCUUGACUGCGAGCGUGACGGCGCGAGCAGGUGCGAAAGCAGGUCAUAGUGAUCCGGUGGUUCUGAAUGGAAGGGCCAUCGCUCAACGGAUAAAAGGUACUCCGGGGAUAACAGGCUGAUACCGCCCAAGAGUUCAUAUCGACGGCGGUGUUUGGCACCUCGAUGUCGGCUCAUCACAUCCUGGGGCUGAAGUAGGUCCCAAGGGUAUGGCUGUUCGCCAUUUAAAGUGGUACGCGAGCUGGGUUUAGAACGUCGUGAGACAGUUCGGUCCCUAUCUGCCGUGGGCGCUGGAGAACUGAGGGGGGCUGCUCCUAGUACGAGAGGACCGGAGUGGACGCAUCACUGGUGUUCGGGUUGUCAUGCCAAUGGCACUGCCCGGUAGCUAAAUGCGGAAGAGAUAAGUGCUGAAAGCAUCUAAGCACGAAACUUGCCCCGAGAUGAGUUCUCCCUGAGACUU